CUGGACAAAGCAAGCGCGAGAGAAUUUGGGGACGAGGCUACGGGAGCUCCACCAGAAUGCUGGAAUACGGCGACAUCGAAUUGGAAGGAUUGCGGAGUCUUGUUCGCGGCUGGGUUGUAUAGUUCCAACAGUGUUACUUGUUUAAAGAACUCGUCGACUGCUACCAAGAACAGUUCUCAAGUUGUGUCACUUGAUGUCUUCUGGUCAGGAAGAGUUGCUGUUAUUUAUGUGAUGCUUUAGGUAUUUUCACUUGCACUUUAGCUGUAGGAUACGCAAAUUGCUAAAUUUCUUUUGACUAAUGGGGUUCAAAGCUAUGUCAAUCUGCUGGACACUAAUAUGGCAGUUGUGCAACCAUGAACAGAUGAGGAAGGAGGUUUAUGGUGACUUGUAGGUUUAUGUGUACACACAUGUGCACAUUUAUUGUACAUGAGUGACAUCAGUGAAACAAUUCGUGUAUUUGCAUUAUUGUAAAGAAUGCCUUACAUGACAUAGGGUGUUAAAAAGUAAUGUGAUAUAAAGAGAAUGCAGACUAGCAGAAGGGAGUUUUGAAUUUAGAGAACAAAGAAGACUAGUCAGACAACAUGCUUUGUUGUACAUUCGACUGGCUUUGGUAAAGAGUGAUAUUAAGAUAUUAAUGAUUUGAAAUAGACUGAAGGCAUUCACCAUUCAA
This is a long non-coding RNA of Corticium candelabrum, 670 nucleotides long. RefSeq lists it as uncharacterized. The transcript has 3 exons. The record is from RefSeq and is a predicted model, not a curated record. Lineage: Eukaryota; Metazoa; Porifera; Homoscleromorpha; Homosclerophorida; Plakinidae.